CUCCACCUCAUAGAGCUCUUUUUUCAGCCGCUCCACCUCCGCCUGCGAAGCAGCGAGCUGGACCUCAACAGCUCUCUUUGCCUCUUCUGCCUUGGCAGCUUUGGCCUGGGCAGCUCGCACCGCGUCCCCGUAAUGCAUCGCCUCCUCGAGGCGCUUGGCGAGGUCCUCCCUCUUGGAGUUUAGAUCCUUCACCAAGCCCUCGAGUUGGAUACUUGUGCUUAGUGCCCGGGCCACGCAGGCGCUGUUCACCGCCACCAAGUCCUCAGCAGUGCAGGAGGCGGUGUGGUCCCUCCACUCUUCGGUCCAAUACUUGCUGUGGACCACCGCCACCGCAGCUGUUUCAGGAGGGAGAGCCUCCAGUACCUCCCUUACUGGUUCUUCCGAACUGGUGCCGAGGAAGUCAACUUCUUUGUUGGGGCGGGCCCUUUUCCUCCUCUGCUGCCCCGGAACAUGUUCAAUAGGUACAGCCGUGAGGGGCGUCGUUUCCUGGGCAGCAGCAGGCUCCGCAGCAGAGGGGCUUCUCUCUGGGAGGGCCACCCCAGUAGGAAUAGUUGUCUGCCGCAUAACUGGGGGUGGCCUCGCCACAGUUGGGCGUCUUGGAGGGGCAGCACUUUUCUUGCCCUUCCUUCGAAGGUCGGCCGCCGGAUCUUCCUGAACCUCCUCCUCUGUCGGAGGCUGAAGCCUCUUACUGGCCUCCACCAGCUCCUCCAUCUGUUUCUUAUAUGAAGAAGAGGAGGCCUUCAGUGCCCUUGCUUCAGCCAUCAUUUUCUGAAUAGUUUUGAAGUCAGGGCGAACUGGCAGCUUCUUGUUGAAGUUAUCUGCAAAGAAAAGAAUGAGGAAUUAAAUACAAAGUAUUGGGAUAUGACCUCUUCUUCUGAGGCAGUUGAUAAAUAACGCAAAUAAUGUCGAAGUCCUCUGUCGACAGCUCGCACCGAGGGAGGGAACCUGCGAAAAGAAACCUAUUAAACACAAGCCCAACCGAAGAGAAGUAAGAUUUCAACUACUAUACUCACUAAGUGUUGAAAACUUCGCCGGGACCGUAAGAGGCGCCAGGGGGUCCCCCUCCAUUGUGUCCCAUCGCCCCGCUGCCCAGCACCAAGAGCUCUUCCAUUCCUUGAUGGAGCUCGGCAGAUCGAUCACAAAUGGAGUGUGGGAACCCCAUGACGUCAGAUAGUACCAGCCCCGGGUCUUAUCCCCCCCGGCAGUAACCUUGGGUAUGUAAAGAGUUUGAAAAACAGAAAGGGGCAUCUCCACUCCUAACGACGCCUCUUUCCACAACAUCCAGGAGCCCACCAUCUGGCUCCAGGAGUUCGGAUUGAGCUGCGUCGGGGCUAGCCCGUAAGACCUAAGCACCAACCUAAAGAACGGGUGAAUGGGCAGCCUAAGUCCGGCCCUAAGGAUCGCCUCGCUAAUGGCUACGCAGCCCGGCCUUGGGUAACAAGCCCUCUCUUCUGGCCCUGGGAGAAUCAGGUCCACACUAUCCGGGAUCCUAUAUUCCGUCCUAAGUCUACCGAGGUCGGCCUCCCUCAACUUUGAUGGGUAGUCCGAUGCCCCCCAGUGCACAGAGGUAUCCGGAGGGCUAUCUGGUCGCUUCCACAUGUUUUCCCCUCCCAUUAUGGCCCCAGCUAUUUCUGAGGAGGUCGCCACAAUGGGCUCGUCCACCCUCACAAUCUCUAAACCCCUACCCAUACCAGAACUCCCUUCCAAGGCCAUUAGUUAAGAAAUUUUUAGUCUAAAUGGGUACUGGAACUUACGGGUUUGAAAGUGUUUCGUAGCCGGAAAUGGUACAAGAUCGCCGGAAAUAUCACUCUCUCUGUCGCCGGAGUUACUUGUAGAACGCCGGAAAUCGCCGAAAACUUGGGAGAGAAUUUUGUUUUUUUCGUGGCAAAGGUAGAAACUCUGGUAAGCCCCCAAAGUUCACCUUUUAUAGGAAAGACGAAUCCAAUCUCCACCCUUGAAUUCAAAUACGAUCAAUCUAAACCGUCCGUUGUAUUCUCGAUCCCAGUCGUUAAAAUGAAACGCCAGAUUUGAUCUACGCCCAAGAUGUAGCUGUGACUUUCACGCUAAAUUAAAACGCGUCGCCUCGGUUAACAACAGCCGUCAAUAAUAAUUACUGGCCGCGGCAGCCUUCUAGGGGAAUGGGUGUGGUACCCAACUGUCAUCUUGGAAACACGCAACAGUUGUCAAAUCAUUGGACUUCUGGGUCGCCUCGGAUGAUCUCCUCCCCCCACUUUACAAAGCUUGGCCGUAACCGACGCGAAGGCCCCCGUCGCUAAUCACCUCGGGCGCUACGUUCCCUCCAUUGCUUUACGAAGUUCUAGCCAUCUCCCCACGCGUCGACCCUUUGUCCGUCAACGCUUCGGCGAGAACGAGUCCUCCAA
Molecule: long non-coding RNA, 2381 nt
Filed under: Olea europaea subsp. europaea
Lineage: Eukaryota; Viridiplantae; Streptophyta; Magnoliopsida; Lamiales; Oleaceae
Source: RNAcentral